Molecule: long non-coding RNA, 2001 nt
Filed under: Salmo salar (Atlantic salmon)
Lineage: Eukaryota; Metazoa; Chordata; Actinopteri; Salmoniformes; Salmonidae
Description: lncRNA (ENSSSAG00000101579.1)
Source: RNAcentral
CACCAAAGUGAAGGCAACUUGGUAACAUCACAGCCACAAGCACCAGAGAGCUGUAACCUGAUAAUAACUAGGAUCAUCUUUGAGUAUACUCUAGAUUGCAGUGAAGAUGGUGAAGUUUGCAGUGUUGGCUGUUUUCUCAUUGACCUUCAGCAUGGUGAAUGGAAUGCUAAAUCCUUUUUCUCCUCUCCAAGGUGAGGCAUGACACAGUUCUGGACAUGGCACUUUCAUCUGUCGACGAUGCAUACAAGGGCUGUGUUCCAGCUAUGUUGACCAGGUGAAAGUGUACCUGAAAGAAGAGAUUACAGCCAAUACGAACGACUUCGAACUCGUUGGACAGACCAUUAUGAUGCUCUUGACAACAAAGAGUCUGAUGGGGAAUUUACAGUUGAACAUAUUCUUGCAAUCAAGUUGUACUCUGGUGUUUUGUACAAAACCCUCAAUGAUGCAGUUCGUGUGGGAAAAGAUAAAUAUAAAGCAAAAACAUUUGAGUUCUAUGCAUGGCUUUUUCUGCUGUCUGAUGCCAUACGUAUUCUGAAAGAAAAAAAGAAUCCCAAUGAAUGUUUGAAAACCGUAUACCGUGGAACCAAAUGUGUUUACAAGGGUCAGUUAAAUCAAGAAAUUAGAUUUGGCAAAUUCCUCUCAACCUCUACUUCUCAGACUCUUGCUGCAGAAUUUGGAACUGAAAAUUGUUUUGAAAUUGAAACAUGCUAUGGUGCCUCUGUGGAAAAAUAUACGAUCGUGGGGCCACUUGAGGCAGAGGUUUUGAUCCCCCUUAUGAGAAAUUAAAAAUUGAGGAAGUGAAAAAGAGAGAAACAGUCAAAGACCUGUGGUGCAAAGUUGUUUUCAAACUGAAAAGUGCAACAUAUUUAAGUGAUCUGAACUGUGCUUUAGUGUAAAUACAGAUCAAGCCGAGUAGGAAUCAGAUAAUGAUUCUACUACUUUGCCAUAUGUGGAGAAACAUAUGAGCAAUAUCCGUACCUAUUUGCAUUGAGAUUUAAGUUCUUAAUAUGACAUCUUGCAUUUACUGAAAUCUGUCAUCUAGAUGGUGCCUCUGUCUACAGCUUCUAUCAAUACCAACACUGUAAAGUGUUAUAACCCACUGCCUUAAAAUUGUAAGUUAUGUCAACACGGGACAUUUUGUUAACAUAACCUCAUAUUAGUAUACAAGUUAAUUCAACUCUAAAUUGUACAUCCAGGGUAAACUUAUAUUUUGUGAAUACAGCAAACUAUUGAGUCAAUUUCGUGGUCCAUAUCUGUCACGUCCUGACCAGUAAAGGGGUUAUUUGUUAUUGUAGUUUGGUCAGGAUGUGGCAGGGGGAUGUUUGUUUUAUGUGGUUCGGGGUUUGUUGGGAUAUGUGUUUAUGUAGAGGGGUGUUUGUUUAGAGUAUUCCGGGGUUUUUGGUUAUGUUCUAUGUUUUGUAUUUCUAUGCUCUGUCUAUGUUGUGUAUUUCUUUGUGUUGGCCUGGUAUGGCUCUCAAUCAGGAACAGCUGUACAUCGUUGUUGCUGAUUGGGAGUCAUACUUAGGUAGCCCUGUUUUCACCUGUCCUUUGUGGGAAGUUGUUUUUGAACUGCUGUGUUUAGCCUGUAAUACUGUGCGGUCGUUCGUUUUCUUGUUUUGUUUUGUAAGUGUUCUAAUAAACAUUAUAAUGAGCACUCAACCCGCUGCGCCUUGGUCCACUAUAUACGACGACCGUUACAAUAUCUUUUUGAGACAUACAUUCAUUUUCAUUUUCCGUCAAGAUGUUUUAAUCAAACAAGUCUAUUUCCGCUUUCUUAAAAAAAAAAAAAAUACAAAUAUAUUUUGUGAUACAAAUAUAUUUUCAAUGUCUGUUAGUUAUAUUUUAAUGAGUUAGUGGUCCACUGUUAUUGUUACAUUCUGUCAUCAGGACACAGACAUUAAGAUGUUACAGUCACUAGACUUGCACUACCCUGUGUAACAGACUCCAUUGGGGAUGCAUGCAGCUUCUGCCAACAUUAAUAAAGAAAAACAUUCAGCAUUA